UUGAGGCAAGACUUACUGAGGGCUCUCCACUGUGAUAAGAGUCAUGGCAGCAGCAGUUAAUGAAGAUCUUGCCAGACAAAGACUUUGGGAGGCAUUGGUUUAAACUGAAGGGAGAAGUCUAAGUAACUGGAGCCUGUGGGAGAGUCCAAGAGAGCAUGUAGCCCCUGGGAAAGUAGUGGGGGGGGCAACAGCAAAAGUGAGAAAGGGAUAAUAUUGGAAAUCAUCCCAGAAAAUAGCAGAGAGAUGCAGACAGCUCUUUCUUUUUUUCACUUCUCCCAAGACCACAAACUGGAAUACAAGGGCUGAUGCAGAAACUCCCAGGAGUGAAGAUCUUUGUAAGCCCUCCAGGUGAGUGACAAAGGAGUAUUGAACUGUAGAAGUUGGAGAAGACCACAAAGCUGAUCUGCAGACCACUGCACACACAGGUGGAUUAACGCAUGGGCCCAUGGGGGCCCCUGCCAUUCAGAGCCCGCCUGGGUGCCUGGGUUCUCUCGGAAAACAGCGGGUUUCCCCUUGCUGGCGGGCAUCAUACUAGGACUGCAACGGACCCUGCUUGGGGCUGCUGAGAGCAAGAUGCAGAGGGCACCGCCUGCAUAUGCAUGGCCACAUGCAUGCACAUGGCCAGGAAAACAGCUGGGCAGCAUGGAGAGCAGCUGCGGGAAAAACCUCUCAUGAAAAAUCUUGACCAGUGCAGAGCAGGAACAGUUUCAACUCUAUAACGCUUGAUCCGAUGUGAUGCCACGCCAGUGAACAAGUUCGCUGCAUUGCUCAUCUCCCUGGAGAACACCUCAUCCAAACUUCCUUGGACACGUUCUUUAAGAAAGCAGACAAGACUCCUGCAGCCAAGACUCCUGAGAAGACUCCAGCCAAGAACCCUUCAAAAAGUCCAACCAAGAGCCUUUCAAAAAGUCCAGCAAAGUCACCUCAAAGAAGUCCUUCCAAAUCAAUACAAUUGCUAUUUACAAUACAAAUACAUUAAUGUAGCUAUAUUACUCAUCUAUAAUUGAUCGAGUACAAAAUUCUGGGUUAUUUUUGGUGAAAAUAGGGUAUCGGGCCUUGGUUCAGGAACCAGUCCCCCAUUGUUUCUUAUGAGAAUUUCUUAUGAGGUUUCUUACGGUUCUGAGUUACAACAUUUCGACUUAAGAUGCGGUUUUCAGGAAUUGUGUCGCAAGUCCAAGGACUGUCUGUAUUCAUUGUUAUUAAUUAGGAAAAAACUGUCCAAGGUUAUCAAACUAAUUUUGGGUGUUUCCUUUAUCUUCAGAGCAGUCUUGGGUACCAUCUACAUUUUGAGACAGUUUGGAAAGACAAGCCUCUUAUGUUUGCCUUAGCAAGGUAUGGUAUUGCUCUUCAGGGACCAGGUCAGUUGGGCACAAAUGUAAAAAGAGCUCUGACUGGCAGCAACUACAUUCUAGGAAUGAAAGAAAAAAAAUAAAAGAGCUUGUAUUAAGGAUUCUUUUGAAAACAGCAUCCUUAGUGUAUUUAAGCUUAAGAGUCCCAAAGGGACUAUAUGGUCAAAUCAGCCAUUAAGAAGGAGGGAGACUUCUCCCUAGAUAACCUAGGCCAAUUACAGUUUUGUGUGUUCAUAGAAAGUGAAAUACUGUUGUUGAGAGAUUUUUAGUGGACCCCUUCCAGUUAAACAAGAGAGUUUUACCAUCAAGAGGAGAGACAUAGAUCCAAAAGAGUGAGAGAAUAAACAGAACUAGAUACAUCAAGAAGGAGAGAGAGGAACAAAAUUAGCAAGGGAUUGAGCCAAAGGUAUGGAAACAGGAAGUAAAAAGGCAGCACUAGCAAAUGAGGAAGUAAUGGAUAAAAGAAAAGUGGAAGAAGAACAGAAAAUGAAAAUAAAAUAAAAAUUCUUGUUUGUGUACAAUGAUAAAAAAUGAAGGGCCUUCAGGACUCCCAAACAGAGAGAAAUGAGUAUUACUGAAAGAGAAAACUCUGAUGAAGAGGCCAUGAAGAAGAAGAAUCAAAUAGGACUAGAACUGCAUAAGAGUUUAGAUACACAUCCUUUGGUGCAAUUAAAAUACCUUUUUAAUGACAAACAGAAAAAUGUGUUAGAGAUUGUAUUCUUUUUCAUAUCUGUCACAACCCAAAGUUGUGAGUUUUUGUUUGUGUGUGCUUCAGCACUGCUAAAUUAUGUUCCCGCUAAAUUGCAGCUUCCUUGCAUGGUGGAGUUCUCUGCUGCAGAAGAGAACCCCGGUGCAACGGAGAAUUUCCUGCCAAUUUGUAGCUUUCUUUGCAUGGUGCAUUUCUUUUGCGUCUCAGAAAUGCACGGUGCAAAGGAGUUCCCGCCAUUUGUAUGAAGAUUCGUGCCACGUCAUUGGCCGAUUCUAAUACAUGCACACAUGGCAGCUAGCAAUUGGCUUGCUAGCCGUAUAAAGAGCUUGGGUGGUUUCCGCCCAAGUUGGAGAACUCCAAGGAGACCCCCGCAAGGGAAAACUCCACGAACACCAGGAGGAGGAGACUUCGCGCUGUGUGAAGAUCUCUAAGUGCUGCGGAUCCUCACGGACCCAACGCGUUUCUUAAGAAGGCAACAGAGGUCUAAACAGCCUCUGGCCUCUCCCCGUCGCCAAGCGCAAUCCUAGACGUAUCCCUUUCCUAUAUACUCAAGAUCCGAACCCACGGAGCUUUAAUAACUCCGGGGCCAGAGAGCCGAACCAAACCCAUGGAGUUUCAGCAACUCCGUGGGAAAGAAAUUGCCAAACCCGCGGAGCCUUAACAACUCCGGGGCCAAAGAACCGAAUUUGUCGUAGUCCUCCAACAAGGAUUUAAGCGGAGCUGCACCUGGAAACUGUCCAGCCUACACUGCGACCAUCUUGGGUGUAAGUAAAUAAUCUUUAAAUCAACCAUUACGCCUCUGUGACUAAUUCUAGCCCGUGCGUGCCUUGCCGCCGUACGGUCUCCUCCGGCCCCGCGUGCCCGGGCUGCUGGCCACAGCCCGCGUGCACAAAGACGGGCCAGGCUCGCCCCCAGCCCGCACAAUAUCCAUGUCAAUGUAUGCUACCUUCUUGCUUAGCAAAGCACUUCCCAAACAUUCAAAUAGGGUUAUGAACUGUCCCAAAGAGAUUUCAAUCUAAGGCCAAACAGUGAGGAGAGAAAAAAUAAAUAGAUGUUUUAUACACCUGUAUUGCCUGACAACUUUCUAAAGUUUGAGUCUUACAGAAGCAAUCAGAAUUACCAGGGAACCAGCCCAAUUUUAACUUAAAAAAAAGAAUCAGGCCACUUUAAAGAAGCAGGGCUGGAAGGGACCUCCAUACAUCAUCUAGACCAAGCACUGCCUAAGGCAAGAUCAUCCUUACUCAAACCAGCCUAUACAAAUACACUGUCUAACCUCUUAGCAAAAUUACACCAUCAGCACUGACACAACAAAAGACCUGCCACAGGUAAAGUGGGGCACCAUGGUGGCCAAUGACAUGCUGCUGUAAAGGUGUUUAAUAUGCUGAGAUCCCAGGAGGAGGGUCAAUCCAUCCCGUUACAAAGGAAGGCAAAAACCUCCACAGUCCAUACCAAUUCCUUCCUGAACCCAAAUAUGGCAAUUGCUCUGACCCUGAGCUUCUCUUUGUUCCAGUUUAGUGAGAACCAAAAGUGAUGGUAAGCCUUUGGGCAAAAGUGUCUCCUAGAUGCACCCUCAAUAUAGUCAGAAGAAGUGAUACCAGCACACAUUACAUUAUUACACAAAGUAACAGCCAAAAUGGAGGCUCUCACCUGUCUGUUGUGCUACUAUAUCGCUAUUUUUGCCUCUUGGGGAAAGGGAACUGUAUUAUUCAGAGUAAAAGGAGAGUAAAAAUGAGCUGAGGAGGUUGUAUGAUGAAUGGUUUGUGGCAUCUUAAUGAAACAAAAAUAUCACUAAAUGUGAGAAGACAUGAUAACUUCUCUUUGCUCCUAAUUUUUAGCGCUCCUCCCCUCCAUUAAGUGUAUGUGUCCUUUUAUACGGGUGUUUUAGCUUUAUUUUGAAAUUGUCCUUGGUUUCUAUUUCAUAUGCAAUGGUCAUUUACUGGAUCACAUCACUUCUGUAUGUAAUCAGAAAUAAUAACAAUGCUGCCAUGUGUGUUCCCCAUUGCUGUGUCGUUUCCUACUUUGUCACAGGCAUACAGCGUGGGCGGUCAUUUUGCCAAUUAUACAGUUGGUCUGAUAAAAGAUACCA
Molecule: long non-coding RNA, 4144 nt
Organism: Alligator mississippiensis (American alligator)
Lineage: Eukaryota; Metazoa; Chordata; Crocodylia; Alligatoridae
Exons: 3
Source: RefSeq, a predicted model, not a curated record